This 496-nucleotide ribosomal RNA is filed under the name uncultured bacterium. RNAcentral describes it as "partial 16S ribosomal RNA". It matches the Rfam family "Bacterial small subunit ribosomal RNA", at positions 29 to 507 of the family's 1533-position model. The record is from RNAcentral.
AUGAACGCUGGCGGCGUGCCUAAUACGUGCAAGUCGAGCGAACGGACGAGAAGCUUGCUUUUCUGAUGUUAGCGGCGGACGGGUGAGUAACACGUGGAUAACCUACCUAUAAGACUGGGAUAACUUCGGGAAACCGGAGCUAAUACCGGAUAAUAUUUUGAACCGCAUGGUUCAAAAGUGAAAGACGGUCUUGCUGUCACUUAUAGAUGGAUCCGCGCUGCAUUAGCUAGUUGGUAAGGUAACGGCUUACCAAGGCAACGAUGCAUAGCCGACCUGAGAGGGUGAUCGGCCACACUGGAACUGAGACACGGUCCAGACUCCUACGGGAGGCAGCAGUAGGGAAUCUUCCGCAAUGGGCGAAAGCCUGACGGAGCAACGCCGCGUGAGUGAUGAAGGUCUUCGGAUCGUAAAACUCUGUUAUUAGGGAAGAACAUAUGUGUAAGUAACUGUGCACAUCUUGACGGUACCUAAUCAGAAAGCCACGGCUAACUACGUG